Molecule: ribosomal RNA, 620 nt
Filed under: uncultured bacterium
Lineage: Bacteria
Description: bacterial SSU rRNA
Rfam family: Bacterial small subunit ribosomal RNA
Source: RNAcentral
UGUAUGAUGAAGGUCUUCGGAUUGUAAAGUACUGUCUUUAGGGAAGAACGGUCUUUUCAGGAAUAUGGAGGAGACAUGACGGUACCUAAGGAGGAAGCCCCGGCUAACUACGUGCCAGCAGCCGCGGUAAUACGUAGGGGGCGAGCGUUGUCCGGAAUUAUUGGGCGUAAAGGGCGCGUAGGCGGGUAUUUAAGUCCGGUGUGAAAGAUCAGGGCUCAACCCUGAGAGUGCAUCGGAAACUGGGUAUCUUGAGGACAGGAGAGGAAAGUGGAAUUCCACGUGUAGCGGUGAAAUGCGUAGAUAUGUGGAGGAACACCAGUGGCGAAGGCGACUUUCUGGACUGUAACUGACGCUGAGGCGCGAAAGCGUGGGGAGCAAACAGGAUUAGAUACCCUGGUAGUCCACGCCGUAAACGAUGAGUGCUAGGUGUAGGGGGUAUCGACCCCUCCUGUGCCGGAGUUAACACAAUAAGCACUCCGCCUGGGGAGUACGGGCCGCAAGGUUGAAACUCAAAGGAAUUGACGGGGGCCCGCACAAGCGGUGGAGCAUGUGGUUUAAUUCGACGCAACGCGAAGAACCUUACCAGGGCUUGACAUCCUCUGAACCCUAAGGAAACUUGG